UACGUAGGGGGCGAGCGUUGUCCGGAUUUAUUGGGCGUAAAGAGCUCGUAGGCGGCUGUUCGAGUCGGGUGUGAAAUCCUGAGGCUUAACCUUGGGUCUGCAUUCGAUACUGGGCGGCUUGAGUCUGGUAGGGGGAUCUGGAAUUCCUGGUGUAGCGGUGGAAUGCGCAGAUAUCAGGAGGAACACCGGUGGCGAAGGCGGGAUCCUGGGCUAUUACUGACACUCAGAGACGAAAGCUAGGGGGAGCAAAUGGG
Molecule: ribosomal RNA, 254 nt
Filed under: uncultured bacterium
Lineage: Bacteria
Description: partial 16S ribosomal RNA
Rfam family: Bacterial small subunit ribosomal RNA
Source: RNAcentral